UGUGAUCUAGUUUCCAGCAAGCAGAUGCACACAUUCAAGAUGUGGUUGUGAAAGUGAGCAAUGAGAUGCCUCAGCUGCAUUCAGGGAGAUGGGAUUUUCUGGCAACACCAUGGUGGAGGUUUCUGAUUCUUCUGGGUAGCCAGGGAGGAGUUCUGACAUCCAUUUUUAGAAUUAUAGGUGCUGACUGGCAGGUGGUGCUGGAAUGGGUUUCUGCUAAAAUAGCCCUGUGAUACGAGAUGAGUGUUCUUCCUAGUUUGGUUUUUCGUGGAUGUUGUUUCUGGCUAUGUAUUAUCCAGGCAUGGUUCUUUGGUCCCCUUGGAGAUCUGUGAGCUAAAUACUAUCCUUUAAUUCCUUUCUGCUUCAACUAGCUCAGUCAUGGCAAGCUACAUAAUUUUGGGGAUUGAGAGCAAAAUAAAAAAUAUGGGAUCCUUUGUUCAAAAAGCAGGGGAAAAGAGCCAUAUGUACUAAAAUAUAAAGCCUUUUCUGUCUUUGUCAUCUCUCCAUCAACUUGUCAUGAUUUUCCUAUUUGUUUUUUAAUGCCAUUCUAAGUAAAGAAAAAUUCAAAUUUUAAAUUAUUAGAAUGAAUUUUACCAUUUAUUUUUAUAUUGUGCAAUGCCAUUUAUAAAUGCAAAUAUAAGAACAUUUAACUAAUACAUGGAAUCCCCAGAAUUACAAUUCAUAUUUCAUAGCUUAUGCAUGGAUAUGUAUUUCGUGCUUAUCAGAACAGUGUAAGUGCUGCACAAAACCAACUUGACUUUUUAUUUUCCUUCUUGAUAGGCACACAUCCUACCAACCUGAGUAAGGAAGGACUGAAAGGAAAAGGAACUAUGGAUUGCCCUACCAUUCCCCUUCCUUCUGUGUCAUUUUCAGUAUAAAAGAAAUGAUACAUGGUUGCCAAUCCAACUUCUGAUUCUUAGGAAACUCCAUUUUACUAACAAACCACUCAUUUUGACUUGGUAACCAUGCUUUGGGAUUUUCAUAGUUUGAGUAAUUCCUCUGGGCUCUGCCACCCAGCAAGUUAAAGAGGACAAGAUUCCUCCUGGGGGAUUGUGGUUCUGGGAAUGUGAGCGGCUUGUUUUCAUGAGAUCUGCACCCUGGCCUGGCCUACUGUUAGGAGCUGUCAUGUUGGUGAUUGUGUUAUUUUUAGUUGUUUGUUUCAUCUUACAUAGUUACAUGUAUAUAAAGAUUUUUGAAAAGUGGACAUUUUAUGGGGAUGUUUUGCUUAUAUGAAGAAAAUUAAAAUGAUUUUAAAGUA
Long non-coding RNA from Miniopterus natalensis, 1255 nucleotides. RefSeq lists it as uncharacterized. The record is from RefSeq and is a predicted model, not a curated record. NCBI's taxonomy places the organism in Eukaryota, Metazoa, Chordata, Mammalia, Chiroptera, Miniopteridae.